GACGAACGCUGGCGGCGUGCUUAACACAUGCAAGUCGAACGAUGAAGCUGGAGCUUGCUCCGGUGGAUUAGUGGCGAACGGGUGAGUAACACGUGAGCAAUCUGCCCUUGACUCUGGGAUAACUGCGGGAAACUGUAGCUAAUACCGGAUACGACACCCUGGGGCAUCCCAGGGUGUGGAAAGAAUUUCGGUCAAGGAUGAGCUCGCGGCCUAUCAGCUAGUUGGUGAGGUAAUGGCUCACCAAGGCGACGACGGGAAGCCGGCCUGAGAGGGUGACCGGCCACACUGGAACUGAGACACGGUCCAGACUCCUACGGGAGGCAGCAGUGGGGAAUAUUGCACAAUGGGCGAAAGCCUGAUGCAGCAACGCCGCGUGAGGGAUGAAGGCCUUCGGGUUGUAAACCUCUUUUAGCAGGGAAGAAGCGAAAGUGACGGUACCUGCAGAAAAAGCACCGGCUAACUACGUGCCAGCCGCCGCCGUAA
This 483-nucleotide ribosomal RNA is filed under the name uncultured bacterium. RNAcentral describes it as "partial 16S ribosomal RNA". It matches the Rfam family "Bacterial small subunit ribosomal RNA", at positions 28 to 523 of the family's 1533-position model. The record is from RNAcentral.